UUUUGCGUAGAAGAAGAAGAAGGAGAAGAUCCGCCAUUGUUAGCUCUGUUUUGAGAUUUACAGUUUUUGAACAUUUGUGGAGCAGAGGUGCACCAUGGCUUGCCACAAUGUCACAAUGGGUUCUUGGAGAGCCGCUGCUGUUGACUUGCUGCAUGUCUCCUCUCUGCGGCAAAACUCACAAAUACUCCACUCACCAAGUUCCAGAGGGAGAGGAUCACCAGCCACCACCGGCCGUACUAAAGGAAGUGGCUCUAUGUAGGGAUGGAACAUAGCAACUACACCAGCUGGGACACACCUAGCCAACU
Molecule: long non-coding RNA, 305 nt
Organism: Portunus trituberculatus (swimming crab)
Lineage: Eukaryota; Metazoa; Arthropoda; Malacostraca; Decapoda; Portunidae
Exons: 3
Source: RefSeq, a predicted model, not a curated record